AGCGAACGCUGGCGGCAGGCUUAACACAUGCAAGUCGAGCGGGCGUAGCAAUACGUCAGCGGCAGACGGGUGAGUAACACGUGGGAACGUACCUUUUGGUUCGGAACAACACAGGGAAACUUGUGCUAAUACCGAAUAAGCCCUUACGGGGAAAGAUUAUCGCCGAAAGAUCGGCCCGCGUCUGAUUAGCUUGUUGGUGAGGUAACGGCUCACCAAGGCGACGAUCAGUAGCUGGUCNGAGAGGAUGAUCAGCCACACUGGGACUGAGACACGGCCCAGACUCCUACGGGAGGCAGCAGUGGGGAAUAUUGGACAA
RNAcentral lists this ribosomal RNA (316 nucleotides) under uncultured bacterium. RNAcentral describes it as "bacterial SSU rRNA". It matches the Rfam family "Bacterial small subunit ribosomal RNA", at positions 29 to 371 of the family's 1533-position model. The record is from RNAcentral.